RNAcentral lists this long non-coding RNA (205 nucleotides) under Marmota monax (woodchuck). The record is from RNAcentral. Lineage: Eukaryota; Metazoa; Chordata; Mammalia; Rodentia; Sciuridae.
CCGCUGCUGGGUUUCAGAACUGGGGAGCAAGGCCCAGGCUGAGGGAGACCAAAGGGCCCAGACAAGCAGAAGGGCUACAUUUUCCCAAAGGGAGCCCACAGGGACAGAAAACCAGGUCCAGUUCCUUGGCCCUGGUGAGAAUCCUGGAAAAAGGAUCAGGAAAGGGGCCUGGCAGGGACAGGGACCACAGGAGGGCCUAAGAAAG